AUACGUAGGUGACAAGCGUUAUCCGGAUUUACUGGGCGUAAAGGGCGUGUAGGCGGUCUUGCAAGUCAGAAGUGAAAUUCCUGAGCUCAACUCGGGCGCUGCUUCUGAAACUGCAGGACUUGAGUGCUGGAGGGGAUAGCGGAAUUCCUAGUGGAGCGGUAAAAUGCGCAGAUAUUAGGAAGAACACCGGUGGCGAAGGCGGCUAUCUGGACAGUAACUGACGCUGAGGCGCGAAAGCGUGGGGAGCAAACAGGAUUAGAUACCCUGGUAGUCCACGCUGUAAACGAUGAAUACUAGGUGUGGGGGGACUGACCCCCUCCGUGCCGCAGUUAACACAAUAAGUAUUCCACCUGGGGAGUACGAUCGCAAGAUUGAAACUCAAAGGAAUUGACGGGG
Molecule: ribosomal RNA, 396 nt
Filed under: uncultured bacterium
Lineage: Bacteria
Description: partial 16S ribosomal RNA
Rfam family: Bacterial small subunit ribosomal RNA
Source: RNAcentral